GAAAUGCGAUAAGUAGUGUGAAUUGCAGAAUUCAGUGAAUCAUCGAAUCUUUGAACGCACAUUGUGCCCCUUGGUAUUCCAUGGGGCAUGCCUGUUCGAGCGUCAUUUGUACCCUCAAGCUCUGCUUGGUGUUGGGUGUUUGUCCCCGUCUCCGCGCGUGGACUCGCCCCAAAGUGAUUGGCGGCCCCCGCGUCGGCCACGAGCGCAGCAGAAACGCGAACUCGUGAGCCCGUCCGGGCGGCUCCCAGAAGCUACACCCACCCAGUUUGACCUCGGAUCAGGUAGGGAUACCCGCUGAACUUAAGC
RNAcentral lists this unclassified non-coding RNA (306 nucleotides) under plant metagenome. Its description in RNAcentral is "partial contains 5.8S ribosomal RNA, internal transcribed spacer 2, and large subunit ribosomal RNA". The stretch from base 1 to 105 matches the Rfam family "5.8S ribosomal RNA", at positions 50 to 154 of the family's 154-position model. The record is from RNAcentral.